UGGCUGGGGACACUCCCUCUGCUGCCAGAGGGAUGCCAGGAGGCAUGCCUGUCCCGGGCGGUCUGGGCCUGCAGCCCGUGGGUGUGACAACAUCCAUCCCAGCAGCGGCUCCCUGGCCCCUGGCAGCACCAGCUGCUCCAGGGGUUGCAGUUUUGCCCUGGGAAGCGACCCAUGGGAUGCGGGAAGAGCUGAGAAGCUACUGACGGGCUGGCAAGGCCCAAACCAUGGUGGGCAUGCAGGCCUGGGGCUGGUUCUCGCUCGCGGGGUCUCUCUGGCCCACAGCUGGCAUUUCCUCUGGAAGCAGGGCUCAUCUGGAAAAGCUAUGGCCGAGUGACACUUCUGCCCCCAACCCCCGGCAUUCAGGCAUAAUUUUCAUCCAGUGAAAUGCACAGAUCGUGUUUCCCAUCAGACAGAUUUUGACAGAUGAACAGCCUCAUGAAACCCCGCAGCCCACAAGAGAUAGACGUGGCCCCACACUCGGAAGGCGCCCCCUCCACCUUUCCUGUCAGUCUUCCCACCUGCCAACAGAUUGCUGCCCCCACGGAAGAGCAAUGCCAGACCUUGCCCUUGUGGCAGCUGGCCCACACGGGGGGCCCGGGACAGUUGCGGGGUCAGGGCAGCUCUCCCUGUUGGGAAUGAGGCUCCCGUGCGGGUCGGGAGCAAGGAGAGGGUCUUUGUUUGCAACGUGCAGCUUCUCUCAGCACAGGACUGUGGCCCAGCUCCCGGCCUCCCCAGAGCCGAGCUGCGUCUGCGUUUGUUGGGCUGGGCACAGGAUGUGUGUCCUCUGCUGGAUGACAUGGGAAUGAGGUCAGCCCAGGUGCUUCCCGGGCAGGGCUGGGGGAAGGUUCCCGAAGAGGGGCCUGGACGCAGAACCAACCACGUGUCCGUGAUGGGUACAAUAGCUUUUCCCAGUAAUAUGCUCAACCUCGAAAACAGUGCAGUUUUUAUGAGCAGCGCAUUUUGUGAGUCCGGGCUGGUGCCAGGGAAAGCCUGCCCGGGGUGGGCUGGGUCUCACCAGCCCCGUGGAUUUGCUGAGUGACUGGAGGAGAUUUUUCCUUUUUUCAGAGCCUUGCUUUUUCACUUAUCUUUCAACAAACGAUUCUUUCUGCCAGGCGCUUGGGAUACACAACCAAGCAGGCCAGAGAGUCGGGGAGAGACGUGAGCAGGUGACAGCACGAUCUAUAAACAUUCACUAAGUGUGGUGACGGCGCAGGCACAUUGGGAGCUGCGGCCCAGGGAGGGUCCCUCUGAGGAAGGCGGACCUGCAGGGUGGGCGGGGCUUCCCAGGGACCCGGGCUGAGAUGGGCUGAGCUGGGGGUCAGGCUGCAGCUGUCUCCACGGUGACGUGUGGGGCAGGACCCGAGGGGGUGCCGCCCUGCGCUGGCCACUCCUGCUGGCCCGGAGGGAGCGCAGGCGGUCGCGCCGUCGCCCGGAGCCACAACUGGCUUUUCAAGCCUCAGGGGCUAGAUUUCAGGGCUUCCGUGGCUUGGCUGGGAAGAAACUAGUUUCCAUUUCUCGUCCCUAAAAUCUGCUUUUCUAACACCAGUAUUGAUGCUUUUGCUGGGGUUUAUGGCUCCUUUUCUUGAAAGAUGCAGAGUCAAACUCAAGCCUGGUCCCCUCAAGGCACUGGGGUCACUGUCUCCGGGCGGUCCCAGACCCCAGAGGGCAGCGGCCGUGAUGGUCGCUCCGUCCUCACUCGCAGGCCCGCGCCGCCCCCUCCACCCCGCCGCCUGCAGCGUCCCUCCCGUGCCUGGGGCCCCCCAGCGCAGCUCGGGGCCACCUCAUGUCCUCGGGUGGGGGCUGGUGACCGUGCCUUCCUCGGAGGCCUCAUUCUUAAAUCAAUGGUCAGUGAAUUGAAGUGUGUGGACGCAAAUGGAAAAGGGGCAGAUGCGGAAACCACGGCUUCCCGGGGCUCUGCUUUAAGUCUUGGGCAUCCUCCCCCUUUUUUCCUUGCUAAUCGUGGUAAAAUAUACGUAACAUGAACUUUGUCAUCUUAACCCUAAGUGUACAAUUCAAUAAUGCUUAGUGUUUUUCGCAUUGUUUUGCAACCAAAUCUCCAAAACUCUUUUUCAUCUUGCAAGAAUGUUAGGCAUCUUUUAAAAAACAAAGUGAAAUGAAAUGAAAUAAACGGAGUAACGUUGUCUUCAAAAAUCA
Molecule: long non-coding RNA, 2154 nt
Organism: Manis pentadactyla (Chinese pangolin)
Lineage: Eukaryota; Metazoa; Chordata; Mammalia; Pholidota; Manidae
Exons: 2
Source: RefSeq, a predicted model, not a curated record